GACGAACGCUGGCGGCGUGCUUAACACAUGCAAGUCGAACGGAAAGGCCCUGCUUUUGUGGGGUGCUCGAGUGGCGAACGGGUGAGUAACACGUGAGUAACCUGCCCUUGACUUUGGGAUAACUUCAGGAAACUGGGGCUAAUACCGGAUAGGAGUUCCUGCUGCAUGGUGGGGGUUGGAAAGUUUCGGCGGUUGGGGAUGGACUCGCGGCUUAUCAGCUUGUUGGUGGGGUAGUGGCUUACCAAGGCUUUGACGGGUAGCCGGCCUGAGAGGGUGAGCGGCCACAUUGGGACUGAGAUGCGGCACAGACUCCUACGGGAGGCAGCAGUGGGGAAUAUUGUACUAUGGGCGGAAGCCUGAUGCAGCAACGCCGCGUGCGGGAUGACGGCCUUCGGUUUGUAAACCGCUUUCGCCUGUGACGAAGCGUGAGUGACGGUAAUGGGUAAAGAAGCACCGGCUAACUACGUG
Molecule: ribosomal RNA, 468 nt
Filed under: uncultured bacterium
Lineage: Bacteria
Description: partial 16S ribosomal RNA
Rfam family: Bacterial small subunit ribosomal RNA
Source: RNAcentral